AACUUUCAACAACGGAUCUAUUGGUUCUGGCAUCGAUGAAGAACGCAGCGAAUUGCGAUAAGUAAUGCGAAUUGCAGAAUUCUCGUGAGUCAUCGAAUCUUUGAACGCACAUUGCGCCCUUUGGUAUUCCGAAGGGCAUGCCUGUUCGAGCGUCAUUUU
This 159-nucleotide ribosomal RNA is filed under the name Exophiala spinifera. RNAcentral's name for it is "5.8S ribosomal RNA". It matches the Rfam family "5.8S ribosomal RNA". From Rfam's summary of the family: 5.8S ribosomal RNA (5.8S rRNA) is a component of the large subunit of the eukaryotic ribosome. The record is from RNAcentral. Lineage: Eukaryota; Fungi; Ascomycota; Eurotiomycetes; Chaetothyriales; Herpotrichiellaceae.